Molecule: long non-coding RNA, 3615 nt
Organism: Gadus macrocephalus (Pacific cod)
Lineage: Eukaryota; Metazoa; Chordata; Actinopteri; Gadiformes; Gadidae
Exons: 2
Source: RefSeq, a predicted model, not a curated record
GUGUAUGAGUGUGUAUGUGAGUGUGUGAGUGAGGGGGGAGAGAGACAGACGACGGGAGAGUUCUGUUCUUUCACUGCUCCAUCCGGGAACUUUAGAAUUAGCAUUGACAGCCGAAGCGCAACUUUUCUCCAGGCAAAGUGAAAUCAAGCCGCGGACUCGGACAAAAUCUAGUCCCCCUUUUUCAACUCGAAAUUAUCGAAAGAAGCGGCACGCCACGAUUUGGUCGGAUGUAUCGAUAUUCGGACGUAUUUGGGAUGUAACUGACCGAGGUCCUGGCUCUUUCCGCUGUGUUUGGACCACUUUUUUCGACGGGCGUAAAGUGGGUGAUGAGUCCUACCCUGUAAAGAAGCGAGAACUUGCUUUUGCAGCCCCGAGUAGUUCUUCUUUCAAUUGUUAUUGCCGCUUUAAAAAAAUCUUUAAUUCACUUAAACUUCGUACGCAUCGCGUCGAAAGUGGGAGAAAAGUGCUUUUGAAGUCGGACCAUGGAACUACAAGGCCUACAAGAGGCGCUGAAAGUAGAGAUCCAAUGCCAUCAGGAUGGAGAGCUUAAGAAACAGCUGCACGACAGACACCCCAGAAUAACAAGCCUAAGCGAGAAACAAGUAAGCCCUCCCCUUGCACUCCACCACCACCACCACCACCAUCACGCUUUUACACAUUACUUUGGUACAUUUCCACCCCGAUGGGGGACUAUCCGUGUGCUACUAAAUCACCACAAACAAUGUUAAGCUGGUCUAAAAGUGGCGGCGGAUGGUUGUCGUGGUUGCCCCAGAGGACCGGGGUGAUGGCCGCCGCGAGGAGCCACGUUCCUCCAUGUCUAAAGUUGUGUAACAGGAACCGUUGAGAAAUGUAGCGUCCAUUUUGAGCAGGUCGACGUGUUUCUGGAGUGGAGCGGGCUAAUAAAGGAGAGGCUUAAGUCGAGUAGUGGGGGGACUUUUGAGACACAGUUACCAUGUCUAAAGUUGUGUAACAGGAACGGUUGAGAAAUGUAGCGUCCAUUUUGAGCAGGUCGACGUGUUUCUGGAGUGGAGCGGGCUAAUAAAGGAGAGGCUUAAGUCGAGUAGUGGGGGACUUUUGAGACACAGUUACAGUUUAAGUUUACGGUUGGUGGUUGUCGUGUCGUCGACAGUGGCGAUCGAAGAUAACGUUUUUUAUUUCGUAUGGUCGUGUCGCCACACUGUCGUCCGUUUUCGGUGACUUUACGGCGAGUCUUGUAGUAUUAUUUCUUUUUUUUCGGUCACAUGACGUCAAGGUUGCGUUUGAUUCGCCCACGAUUACGCUUUCACUUUUUUUUCUCUCCUCUCGCCACUCUCUCAUAGCGAAAGCAAGCCCUUUUAAUAACUUAAUAACUUCCCUUUACGAAUUAAAGGCCGUUUUUAAGUCUGCCGUGGUUGUUGUCUUGGAGGCUAUGGUGGUUCAGCACUUUAGCAGGAGCCGUCCUGCUGUCGUUCAGCACCACGGACAGCUGCCGCGGAGCACUUAAAGUCACAACGCUGCUCUCACACAUACACACCUUUAUUAUAUCUAUAACUUCUCCGAUCUUUUAUUUAAAGAUACCAAACGACAACGAAAGUUAGUCUGGAUUGGAAAUCCUAGUGUUGUUUUAGCGAUUUAGUGUGUUUUUGGCGUGGUUUGUGCCACUCUCUCCUCUCUGAAAUGAAACCUUUAAGCAUUUCUCUGGAGUUAAUCGAUUCCAUUUCCUGUGGAAUGCAGUUUUCAGGACUUGGACCAGCAGCGCCUCGCUUUGAGACGCGAUCAAACCCGACGCCGAUCCGCACACACUCGACGCCAAUCCCGGUGUAUUUAUCGAGUCUAGCUCGUUUGUACACCCGUGUACAAAAUGUUUUGUGUUUUGUUGUGGUUGCUUUUCGGGAAAGCGCCCUCAGUUUGGUAGUGGAAGCUUCCAUUUUGUGGCGAGAAGGGGGUGGUUUCUUCCCCAACAUGGAGAAAAAGUCUGCAGAGUUUCGUGCAGGGGGGGGAUGGGCCCCAUUCAUGCCUAACAUUACCAUUUUGAUUGCUUUGAUGCUGUUUUUGGUGGAGGGGGAGGGGUAGCCAGAGAGAAGACAGAAUGCCCGAGUCAGCACUGCACAGUGGCUUUUUAAUCACUGCAUGUAGCCUAACUGAGACUCUUUUAUUUCUGUAUGAAAUAUGACCUCUACUUCAGUGCCCACCUACCAACUGGUUAUUGCUAGUACAUAAAGAACACAUGGUUUCGUUUUAACCCCUUUUCUAAAUGCUUUCGAGGUCAGUUUAGAUACUUUUACACAUGCAUGGUAGAAAAUAAGUAUGUGUAUAGGGUAAACAUUAUUGUAUAACUAAACAUCAUUGUUUAACUAUCCGUUUUGGCUAUAUAGGCUCUAUAAACAUUUCCCUGUGUUAAUAUGAACUUAGUAUUUUUGGGUUAGGGUUGUUAUGUGCUGAAAUGGUAAAAAAUAUUAGCUGUCAUGUAUAUGGAUUACAUGUAUAGCAGUUACAAUGUAAACAGAGGGCUAGUUUAAGUAAGUAAGCCUAUAUAAUCAAUGUCAGUUAAGUCAAUGUUUUGUAAGCUAUCGUUUGCAACAUAAAAUAAGUCUAAAUAAAGGAAAACAAGAAAGAAAUAGCCCAAAAAAGAAAAUAAUAUUACCAUCUGUGGAACAAGGACUUCUAGUUUAUUUUCCCAAUUGUGUUAUAGCUGUAUUGGCGAUUUAAACACCUUAACUACCUUUUUUAUCCACGGUUACAAAAGAUCACAACUUCCAUAAUAUGAAGGCCAGAAAAGAUAAAAAAACAACAUAACAACAACAACUACAAAAACAACAUAUACGAUGGGUGGUGAAUGAUACAUUUGGUUGGAAUCACUGAGAGAAACUACAUUGUUGUGCUCCAGGCCUCAACAUACAGCUGUAGGCUAACCUGCUCACCGGAGCUAAUGGUUGUGCUUGUGAAUCCAAAAUGACAAAUGAGUCACGAGUCACAGUGGCUCUGUCUGGCUGUGUCUCCAUCGCUUAGGAUUUUCCUCAUUAAACCCUUUGGGGUAUUUGAUAUUUUUUUUGGGUCAAACUUAAUUCUCUACUUUUGUGUUUAAGAAGUUGUAUUUUCAUUAUUUCGUCAAAACGAAGCGAGAAACCCACUUUAUAGACGUCAAAGUACUAGAAUAUAUCCGAUAUAUUGAUGAUCUGAUGUUGACGUUUUAUACAUUUAUUUUUUAAUAAGAAACCCAUUGAUUUAGUUUUCUUCCGUGCUUCACUUGCUCUGCGUUGCGUCAUGGAAACCGGGUUUCUCACCUCGCAAAAGCCCCAGGCCUCAACGUACUUUAUUGUUGUUCUUUACUCUGACGGUUCUAAUAAAAAUAAUUGCACCAUGAUGAUGUUCCCGUUACACCAUCUUGCAGAGGACUACCCUACCCACACAGAUCAAUCCUGCUUGUUACGCUAGUGCGCUUGUUUACGUUGUGUUGGCAUCCGAGUACAAUGUUAAUCAGGAGAAUAUCUGACACACACUCACACACACACACACACACACACACACACACACACACACACACACACACACACACACACACACACACACACACACACACACACACACACACACACACACACACACACACACACACACACAGAGAGACAAACAAAG